CUAGAGAAAAAUGGAGGAAAAAUUGUUAUUCCAUUGAUGUAUUACACUGGGUGUCUCUAUAAAUAGCAAUGAAAAAAGAAUCUCCAGCUGUCAUCUAACAAACUAAUGUUGUACAAAUUAACUAUAUACAUUCUAAUAAGUCCCCUCAAGAUGUACUGUAUAUAUUCUUUACAGACAUCUUGCUAAUAGUGGGGAUAAGAUUGAAUUCGAAAGUGGUUUAGCAAAAAUAUCAGCUAGUUGAUGUUGAGAGCGAACAGGAAGAAGCUUACAAGUCAAGUAGAAACUGUCACGAAUGAAAUGGCAAUCAACUUCUAUAUGUUUUGUCUUUUCAUGUAAAAUGGAAUUGGAGGCUAAAUGAACUGCAGCAUGAUUGUCACAAAAAAGAAGAGCUAGAGAAGAAACAACAAACUGAAAAUCCUGCAACAAUCGUUGGAUCCAAAGAACUUCAUUGGUGGUUGCGGCAAGAGCACGAUAUUCAACUUCAGCUGAAGAACGGGAUACAGUAGCCUGCCGUUUUGCUUUCCAAGAGACCAAAGAAUUUCCAAUGAAAAUGCAAAACCCAAUUGUGGAUUUCCUCGUAUCAAUGCAAGAACCCCAAUCAGCAUCAGAAAAAGCCUGGAGUUUCAUAGGAGUAAUAGGAGAAGCUGAAAAGAAGAUACCUUGGCCAGGACUAUUCUUCAAAUAACGAAGAAGAUGAUGUGCAGCCUUCAAAUGUGGCAAUCGUGGUUGUGAGAGGAAUUGACUCAACUUGUGAACGGUAAAGGUAAUAUCAGGUCUCGAUAUGGUUAAGUAAAUCAACCGACCAAUGAGUCUUCUGUAUAGAGAAGCAUCCGGUAAAAGAUCCCCUUCAUGGAGGCCGAGGGACAACUUUGAGGACAACUUUGAGUCCAUAGAUGCAGCUACCGGUUUGCACUCCAAAUAGCCUGUGUCCUCAAGAAGUUGCAAUGUGUAUUGCCUCUGUGAAAGCUCAAUUCCUGAUCUGGAUCGGGCUAUUUCAAGCCCCAGAAAAUAUUUUAGUUUUCCCAAAUCUUUUAGUUUAAACUGAGAAUGCAAAAACUCCUUUAAUGAAUCAAUAACCUGCAUGUUUGGGCCUGUGAUAACGAUAUCAUCCACAUACACUAAUAAAGCCACAAAAUGAUCCCCAGAUCCUUUGGUAAAUAAAGAAUAAUCAGCUUUGGAUUGUGUGAAACCAAAAUGAAUGAGAUCCUGAGAGAAUUUUGAGUUCCACUGCCGCAAGGCUUGCUUGAAUCCAUAAAUGGACUUGUGUAAUUUGCACACUAACUUCACCCCAUUCCUGUUAGAUAUGCCUUGUGUAUCGUAUCCAAGAGGAAGAUCCAUGUAAACUUCUUCAAAUAAAUCUCCAUUUCGAAAUGCAUUAUUGACAUCGAGCUAUAUGAGGUGCCAACUUUGAUAAGAAGCAAGUGUCAAUAAAACUUUGACAGUUACUAUUUUAGCAACAGGGGAAAAUGUGUCAAAAUAAUCGAGCCCUUCUUUUUUAGUAUAACCUUUUGCUACAAGGCGUGCCUUGUGCCUUUCAAUAGUGCCAUCCGACCUGUAUUUUGUUUUAUAAAUUCAACGACACCCAAUGGAAUGUUUUCCUUGUGGCAAUGGGAUGAUAGACCAGGUGUUGUUACUCUCCACAGCCUGUAAUUCCAGUUUCAUAACCUCACGCCAUUGAGAGAGUUUGACAGCCUGAUGGAAGAAUUGUGGUUCACAAUGAGCUGAGACAUUCAACACAAAUUCCCUAUGGGAUGGGGAUAGAGCUGCAUAUGAAACAAAAUUUUCAAUGUGAAGAGACUUUUGAGCUGUCAUGUUGAAAUGAAAAUCAUUUAGAUAUGCAGGAGAUUUGAUGGUCCUUUGAGAACUUCGAAGAACACCAUUAGGCUGGACGGUAUUAGCAGGUUAUGAAUCAUGGGAUGGCAGACCAGGUGACAGAGAUUCUAAUGGGGAAGAUUCAUGUGGGAUAGGCUCAUGUUGAUCAAAACAAGGUUCCUGAUAUAAAGACAGUGUGGGCUUGGGUAACACCAAAUCAGGGAAAGGAUCAGUGAGUCGAUCUGCCUCCACAACUUUAUGAAAUGGAAAAAUAUCCUCAUGGAAAAUGACAUCUCUUGAUAUGAAAAUCCUCUGAUUUUAUAUCAUAAAGUUUGUAUCCUUUCACUCUAGGUGGAUACCCUAAAAAUACACAAAUUGUAGCACGAGGUUGGAACUUUGUUCGAUGAUUAGUCAAUGUUGAUGCGAAAGCCAAAGAACCAAACACCCUAAGACAUGAAUAAUCUGCAGGUUUAUCAUAUAAAACUUCAAAUGGAGAUUUAUUUUUCAAUAGAGGAGAUGGUAUCCUAUUGAUUAAAUAAGUGCUGUUAAUAUACAAUCUGUCCAGAAUUUAAUAGGUGUUUGAGAUUGGAAAUAUAGUGCCCUUGCCACAUUCGAGAGAUGUUGAUGUUUGCGUUCCACAAUUGAGUUCUGUUGUGGUCGUUCUACACAACUGAAUUGGUGUAGCACACCCCUUUCAGCAAACAUAUCAGUGAAGGCUUAUUCAGGUGCAUUAUCUAAUCUAAACACCUUGAUUUUCGAUUUGAAUUGGGUUUCCACCAUAUUAAAAACUCUUGGAAUGAGCAAGGCUGCAUCAGACUUAUUUUUCAACAGGUAAAGCCAUGUGAAUCUAGAACAAUCAUCCACCAAAGUUAGGAAAUAUUUAUGUCCUGUGUAAGAUUCAAUAUGGUAGGGUCCCCAAAUAUCACAAUGAACCAUGUCAAAGGGAUUGAUCGAAAGAUGAUUAUUACAUUCAAAAGAUAGUCUUCUUUUUUUUUUGCAAGGGGACAUAUAUAACAUGGUCCAACUUUAUUCAAUUUUGUACUGUCACGCAACAAAAGAGAUCUCAAAUUGUCCAAUCUUUUAAAAGACGGAUGGCCAAGUCUAUUGUGCCAAACCUGAACUGUUAACAUUUUUUACACAAAAGAUUGAUUCAGAAUUUAAAAUCCUUGUGUCAAGAAUUUAAAGAUUCUGCACAUGAUCACCCUUGCCAAUCAUCCUCAUGUUGUUGGCAUCCUGGACAGUGAAAUGAUUAGAAUAGAAACUGAUGCUGAGUUGUGAGGCAAACGUUAGUGCACUAACAGAAAGCAAAUUGAAUUUGAACGCACAAAUAGCGCAUCUUGAAGCACAAGAUUAGAACUUAACUGAACUUUACCACAUAGUUUAACUGGAAUUUGUAUGUGAUUCGCUAAGGUCACAGUUGAGUUUUCAACAAUUUUCCAUGUUAUAAAGGCAUCGGCAUAAGGACAAAUAUGCCUGGUGGCACCUGAAUCCACAAUCCAUAUAUUUUUGGAAGACAAAAUAGGAUGUAAAGAUACUGAAGAACAUAUACCUGUAGCAUAAGAAUUAGAUGUGUUACCAUGAAGUUCAGAAGUAUUUGUAUAUGAAGUCAGAUGAGUUGAGAACAUAGACAUCAAUUGUUGGUACUGACUUGAGCUGAGAUUUUGGACAAAAUUCCCAAAAUCAGGUUGCUUUCCUUCAGUUUGAGGAAUUGAAGAUGCAGAAACUUGAUUUACAGUGUUGGAACCAGCAUAAAUGGAAUGACUCUCCGUUUGUCUUUGUUUGUAUCCCGGCGGAUAACCAUGUAUUUUGUAACAUUUGUCAUUUGAGUGACCAUGAUAGUUGCAAUGAGUGCAAAAGGGCCUAUCCUUCUUUUUAUAAUUUCCAGCAGAUCUGGAUUUCGAUAUAUUGUUAUAACCAUCAGUUCCUUUGCUAUUUUCUGAUUUAAAGGCAAAAGCCAUAGCUCCACUUUGAUCAAAAUUGGAUGCAAUUUUUGUACCUAUUUUUCUUUGGUGUUCUUCCUGAGAAAUCAAGGCAAAUACUUUGUUGAUAGGAGGCAGGGGGUCCAUGAGAAGAAGCUGUUCUCUAACUUGAGAAAAGGAGUCAUGUAGUCCCAUGAGGAAGGACAUUAUAUACUGAUGAUGUUUGGACAACUCUUUCACUCCACCACAAGUGCAUUUUCCAAAGGUACAAUUAGGUCUAUAGUUACUCAAUUCUUCCCAAAGAGUCUUGAGUUUGGUAAAGUAAAUACUGACACUAUCCUGAUCUUGUGAAAGGUUCAUCAAUUCUUUUCUUAGCUAGAAAAUACGUGGCCCAUUCUUCUGUUGGAAUCUAUCUUUGAGAUCAGUCCAGAUCUCAUGAGCAUUAGUGGCAAAUAUUACGCUAGCAGAUAUCUCUUUGGACACCGAGUUUAAGAUCCAAGAGAUUAGAAUAUUGUUGUUUCGAGUCCAUGAAUUGAACAGAUCUGGAUCAUUACCUUCAGGCUUGUUUAUGGUUCCAUCAACAAAACCAAGUUUAUUCUUCACGGACAAAGCUAUCAGCAUUGCUCGACUCCAGGAGGCAUAGUUAUCUCCUGUGAGUUGUUGAGAAACGAGAAUCAAUCCUGGACUGUCAGAAUGGUGCAGGAAGUAAGGGCUGGAAGGGUCAUCAAUGGCAGAUCUGCUUGAAGACGACCUUGCAUUAUGAACAUUUACCGACCGUGUCGAUUCCAUUCGAAGUUCAGAAUUAGGAUUGAGAAACAGAAUAGUUAUAUCAAUGAAUUUUGAUCUAAUUGAAGGAAAAGGACGAAAAUGGACGCAGCAAGUGAUUUAGCUUUGAUACCGUAUUGAGCUAGAGAAAAAUGGAGGAAAAAUUGUUAUUCCGUUGAUGUCAUUGGGCGUCUCUAUAAAUAGCAAUGAAAAAAGAAUCUC
RNAcentral lists this long non-coding RNA (4718 nucleotides) under Olea europaea subsp. europaea. Lineage: Eukaryota; Viridiplantae; Streptophyta; Magnoliopsida; Lamiales; Oleaceae. The record is from RNAcentral.